AGUUUGAUCAUGGCUCAGGACGAACGCUGGCGGCGUGCUUAACACAUGCAAGUCGAACGGAUCAGGUUGAGCUUGCUUGACUUGGUUAGUGGCGAACGGGUGAGUAACACGUGAGUAACCUGCCCCAGACUCUGGGAUAACUUCGGGAAACCGUGGCUAAUACCGGAUAUGACAUCACCUCGCAUGGGGAUGGUGUGGAAAGUUUUUCGGUCUGGGAUGGACUCGCGGCCAAUCAGCUUGUUGGUGAGGUAGUGGCUCACCAAGGCGACGACGGGUAGCCGGCCUGAGAGGGCGACCGGCCACACUGGGAUUGAGACACGGCCCAGACUCCUACGGGAGGCAGCAGUGGGGAAUAUUGCACAAUGGGCGGAAGCCUGAUGCAGCGACGCCGCGUGAGGGAUGAAGGCCUUCGGGUUGUAAACCUCUUUCAGCAGGGAAGAAGCGAAAGUGACGGUACCUGCAGAAGAAGCACCGGCUAACUACGUGCCAGCAGCCGCGGUAAUACGUAGGGUGCGAGCGUUGUCCGGAAUUAUUGGGCGUAAAGAGCUUGUAGGCGGUUUGUCGCGUCUGCUGUGAAAAUCCGGGGCUCAACCCCGGACUUGCAGUGGGUACGGGCAGACUAGAGUGUGGUAGGGGAGACUGGAAUUCCUGGUGUAGCGGUGGAAUGCGCAGAUAUCAGGAGGAACACCGAUGGCGAAGGCAGGUCUCUGGGCCAUUACUGACGCUGAGGAGCGAAAGCAUGGGGAGCGAACAGGAUUAGAUACCCUGGUAG
This 772-nucleotide ribosomal RNA is filed under the name uncultured bacterium. RNAcentral describes it as "bacterial SSU rRNA". It matches the Rfam family "Bacterial small subunit ribosomal RNA", at positions 10 to 793 of the family's 1533-position model. The record is from RNAcentral.